CGCGCCUGCACGCGCGCGAGAUGUCCAGGGGAGAGCGGCACCGGCACGCAGUGAGCCAGUAACCAAGGACAAGGAGCACGGGCGCGCCGCGAAAUCAUGCCGCCCCGUGCACGGGCCCGCACCGGCACCGGAGCCCUGCACCUGCUCGCUCACCCGUCGUCGUACGCGCGUCGGCUUGGCCGCUCCCAUCACGGCCCUGCCCCAGCCCCCAGUUGUCCCCCUUCUGCCGGUGCAAUUUCACACGGCCUGCAGACCACCUGUUUUUGGAUGGAACCAGCCGGCCGUGGAGGACAAAUUUACAUUCGCGAGCUAGCCAUGGAGGUCGAAUCCAAGCUCUCAGGGCGCAUGGAUAUGCAGAGGAAGGAUAGAACCAGGAUGGAGAGCAAAGUGUCAAGUCUAGUGAAGGAGAAUCAAGAGAUACAUACCAUGUUGAAGGCUGCUAUAACUGAGAAGGAGGCGGCGGAGGAUAGCCUUCGUGCAUUGAAGGGCGAAAAGGAGCAGGGAAGAAGUGCCAUCUUGCAGAUUGCUGACAGAGGAUUGCACAAGGUUGGCUUUGGCUUCAUCAUGGAGGUGAUAAGUGGCGAGCCAAAAAGCGAGGAGGAGCCAACCACCUCUGGUACAGCAACUGCGACAUCUGAUGGAAGAGAAAAUGAACAAGAGCACAUCAGUCUGGCUUGUGUAAUUGAAAAUACAGUGAAAACCCUGCAUGGUGAUAUCAGUGAUCUAAGGCAGGCCUUUGACGAAUCCAGAAUUUCUUUUUAACAGGUCAGAUUGUGAUCAUUUCCAACUUCUUGCUGCUGAACGGGCUCAGAAGAUAAACAACCUUGAACCGUAUAUAAAGGAUUUGGAAAAAAGAGAGAGCUUUCUAGUUCACAGUGUGGAAGACCUCACUCUAGAGAUGAAAGCAGUAGAACAGGAGGCUACAAGAUGGAGGGAAGCAUGUGAACAGGAGGUAGAAGCUGGAAAAUCUGCCAUCAAAGAACUCAACCAGGAGAUUGCCUUGCUCAGAGAAGAACUGGGAAGGGUAAAAGCAGACUUGGAGACUGCAAACAGUAAGCUACAGCUAAAGGAGAAAUUAGCAGCCAGUGCAAUGGUAGCACAAGCAGCUGCAGAUGCAUGCCUCAAGCUUGCAGACAGGAGAUCUGCUGGGCUGCAACGGAGGAUAGAAGAGUUGACGAGACAAAUAGAGCAAGAAGAUGCACAUGGAAGAAAGGAGAGAGGAAGUACUCGCAGAAGAUUAAGGUAUAUCUGCUGGCCUUGGCAGCAACUUCAAGUUAUAUCAGCAUCCUGUCAAGCUAGAACAUGGUUUGUUGAUCAGAAUGGUAGAUUGCUACCAAGGACAGAAGCACUAUUGCAGACAAGAAUCUAACUUCUCUUCUCACACAUUCAUUCCCUGUAAUAGACUCCUGCCUCACUGGCUCCCUAUAUUGCACUUUCUACCCCACUCAUUUUGUAACAGUAGUUUUAUGUAAGCACGAUUGUACACAUCUAAGGUAGCGUAUACUAAGUUCAAGUGGUCUUGACAUCA
This is an RNA transcript of Setaria italica (foxtail millet), 1528 nucleotides long. RefSeq lists it as uncharacterized. The record is from RefSeq and is a predicted model, not a curated record. The transcript has 5 exons. NCBI's taxonomy places the organism in Eukaryota, Viridiplantae, Streptophyta, Magnoliopsida, Poales, Poaceae.